CCUACGGGAGGCAGCAGUGAGGAAUAUUGGUCAAUGGGCGCGAGCCUGAACCAGCCAAGUAGCGUGAAGGAUGACUGCCCUACGGGUUGUAAACUUCUUUUAUAAAGGAAUAAAGUGAGGCACGUGUGCCUGUUUGUAAGUACCUUAUGAAUAAGGAUCGGCUAACUCCGUGCCAGCAGCCGCGGUAAUACGGAGGAGCCGAGCGUUAUCCGGAUUUAUUGGGGUUAAAGGGAGCGUAGGUGGGAUGUGAAGUCAGUUGUGAAAAUUUGGGGCUCAACCGUAAUAAUGCAAUUGAUACUGGCAGCCUUGAGUACAGGAGAGGUAGGCGGAAUUCGUGGUGUAGCGGUGAAAUGCUUAGAUAUCACGAAGAACUCCGAUUGCGAAGGCAGCCUACUGGACUGCCACUGACGUUGAGGCUCGAAAGUGUGGGUAUCAAACAGGAUUAGAUACCCUGGUAGUC
This 460-nucleotide ribosomal RNA is filed under the name uncultured bacterium. Its description in RNAcentral is "partial 16S ribosomal RNA". It matches the Rfam family "Bacterial small subunit ribosomal RNA", at positions 338 to 795 of the family's 1533-position model. The record is from RNAcentral.